AUGUCGUCCUCCUCCUCCUCCUCCUCCUCUUCCUCAGGCACAGCGGGUCCAGAGACCCCUCAGGACUUUUUUCAGGACCCCUCAGGACUUUUUAUUCCCGUGACCCUAACACUGAAAAUGUUGAUGAGGACGUGUGCGGUACUGAGACCUGUAAGCGUGUGCAUGCUAUUUAUGUCACCUGUUGUUUGUUUUUUUUUUCGAUUAGGCAGCAGAUCUAUAAACAUUAACAAGUGGAUAAUUAAAGUUCUUUACACAAACUUUUACCGACACGACACACAAAUGUACUGUCUGUACUGUCUGUUGAGUCUACAGCACGGCGUCUACAGCGUCUCCGAUACAGAUACAGUCGAGACCGGUUCUUCUGAGGGUUGUUUCUCCAUUUGUUCCUCAAGACUUUGAGGGUCUUGAGGGGACCCUUCGUACGAUUCCUCCAGGGCAUCUUUGGAGGGUGUAGUGUAGGGUUCCUGUAAGGGCACUUUACCACCGGACUCCAUUAGGAGUUUUUCACAAGGUUCUUCCAAGGACACUUCACACGGAUCACAGGGAUCCAUCUGCUGCUCCUCACUGGAUUCAUCAAACGAUACGCUACACUCUGCUUUUAAGGGCUCUAGAUGGUUUUCCUCUGAAGGUUCUGGAGAUUCUGCUCUCUUGUUCUCUUGUGUUUCCUUGGCCGUCUCAUCGGUUUGCAAGGGACUUUCGCCACCUUGAGAAGGAUCUUUCUCAACUUUCUCGAACUGGUACUCCACACGUUCUGGACUGGGAUCACUGUGCGUGAGGUCGGAGUCGUUCAGCUUGUCCUCGAGCUCUUCGCUGAUAGGCUCGGCUUGGUCCAUGCUCACGUCUGAAAGUGCGAGAGGCGGCGGGGGAAUGUACUCGUGCGGGCUCGCGGCCAAAUCCGUCUGCUCAACGGACGUCUCUCCGACGUUGAGGUCCUUGAACAGCAUGAAGCUUGGUGCUAGCGGUUCCACCGGGUUGCUCUGCGAGUCGGAACUGGGCAUGCUCAAGCAAUCCGUAAGAGGGUCGUCUCGUUCUUGGCCGUCUUCAGUUUGAGCCGGGUCCAGGAAUUCCGCUUCCAGUGCGGGCGUACCCAAGAUAGGGUCCGCUUCGGUGAAGAUGUCGGAGGUUUCAGCGUGGUCCGAGCUUUCCCACGGCGUCUGAAGCUCGUUCAACUCCACCGACGGUGCCAUUAAACCGGUCUCCUCUGAGGAACCUUGCUCUCCCACUAAAACGUCGCUCCGGAGCUUCCCAGCUAUGGAAUCAGCCAUGUCUCCUUGUGCACCACUCAGCUCUCCUUGCACGCCGUACGAGUUUAGCAUACUCUGUCCAGCAGACGCUGAGUUAAAUGGAAAUCCAUUGAAGGCCUCCUUGCCGGACUUGCCGUGGAGCGAAUCCGACGCCA
Molecule: long non-coding RNA, 1399 nt
Filed under: Astyanax mexicanus (Mexican tetra)
Lineage: Eukaryota; Metazoa; Chordata; Actinopteri; Characiformes; Acestrorhamphidae
Description: lncRNA (ENSAMXG00005021916.1)
Source: RNAcentral